RNAcentral lists this ribosomal RNA (434 nucleotides) under uncultured bacterium. Its description in RNAcentral is "bacterial SSU rRNA". It matches the Rfam family "Bacterial small subunit ribosomal RNA", at positions 182 to 623 of the family's 1533-position model. The record is from RNAcentral.
GACUCGGCAUCGAGAUUAUAUUAAAGUCACAACGGUAAAAGAUGAGCAUGCGUCCCAUUAGCUAGUUGGUAAGGUAACGGCUUACCAAGGCUACGAUGGGUAGGGGUCCUGAGAGGGAGAUCCCCCACACUGGUACUGAGACACGGACCAGACUCCUACGGGAGGCAGCAGUGAGGAAUAUUGGACAAUGGGCGCAAGCCUGAUCCAGCCAUGCCGCGUGCAGGAUGACGGUCCUAUGGAUUGUAAACUGCUUUUAUACGAGAAGAAACACUGCUACGUGUAGCAGCUUGACGGUAUCGUAAGAAUAAGGAUCGGCUAACUCCGUGCCAGCAGCCGCGGUAAUACGGAGGAUCCAAGCGUUAUCCGGAAUCAUUGGGUUUAAAGGGUCCGUAGGCGGGUUAGUGGUGAAAGCCCAUCGCUCAACGGUGGAACGG